Molecule: ribosomal RNA, 254 nt
Filed under: uncultured bacterium
Lineage: Bacteria
Description: partial 16S ribosomal RNA
Rfam family: Bacterial small subunit ribosomal RNA
Source: RNAcentral
GACGUAGGGUGCGAGCGUUGUCCGGAAUUACUGGGCGUAAAGAGCUCGUAGGCGGUUCAGUAAGUCGGGUGUGAAAACUUUGAGCUUAACCCAAAGCGUGCAUCCGAUACUGCUGUGACUUGAGUUCGGUAGGGGAGUGGGGAAUUCCUAGUGUAGCGGUGAAAUGCGCAGAUAUUAGGAGGAACACCGGUGGCGAAGGCGCCACUCUGGGCCGAAACUGACGCUGAGGAGCGAAAGCAUGGGUAGCAAACAGG